UGAACUCGUUCGAUCACCGAAGUCAAGCAACAUCUGGCGCGGUCAGUACUUGGGAGGGUGACCACCUGCGAACACCGCGUGUCGU
Molecule: non-coding RNA, 85 nt
Organism: Caerostris darwini
Lineage: Eukaryota; Metazoa; Arthropoda; Arachnida; Araneae; Araneidae
Source: the annotation of a GenBank genome assembly